Molecule: ribosomal RNA, 253 nt
Filed under: uncultured bacterium
Lineage: Bacteria
Description: partial 16S ribosomal RNA
Rfam family: Bacterial small subunit ribosomal RNA
Source: RNAcentral
UACGGGGGGGGCAAGCGUUGUUCGGAAUUACUGGGCGUAAAGGGCUCGUAGGUGGCCAACUAAGUCGGACGUGAAAUCCCUCAGCUUAACUGGGGAACUGCGUCCGAUACUGGAUGGCUUGAGUUUGGGAGAGGGAUGCGGAAUUCCAGGUGUAGCGGUGAAAUGCGUAGAUAUCUGGAGGAACACCGGUGGCGAAGGCGGCACCCUGGACCAACACUGACACUGAGGAGCGAAAGCCAGGGGAGCAAACGGG